This 354-nucleotide ribosomal RNA is filed under the name bacterium LimB-100-J-166. RNAcentral describes it as "bacterial SSU rRNA". It matches the Rfam family "Bacterial small subunit ribosomal RNA", at positions 289 to 634 of the family's 1533-position model. The record is from RNAcentral.
GGUCUGAGAGGAUGAUCAGUCACACUGGAACUGAGACACGGUCCAGACUCCUACGGGAGGCAGCAGUGGGGAAUAUUGGACAAUGGGCGAAAGCCUGAUCCAGCCAUGCCGCGUGUGUGAAGAAGGUCUUCGGAUUGUAAAGCACUUUAAGUUGGGAGGAAGGGCAGUAAGUUAAUACCUUAGCUGUUUUGACGUUACCAACAGAAUAAGCACCGGCUAACUUCGUGCCAGCAGCCGCGGUAAUACGAAGGGUGCAAGCGUUAAUCGGAAUUACUGGGCGUAAAGCGCGCGUAGGUGGUUCAGCAAGUUGGAUGUGAAAUCCCCGGGCUCAACCUGGGAACUGCAUCCAAAACU